Non-coding RNA from Drosophila kikkawai, 1645 nucleotides. The record is from RefSeq and is a predicted model, not a curated record. NCBI's taxonomy places the organism in Eukaryota, Metazoa, Arthropoda, Insecta, Diptera, Drosophilidae.
UGGCAGCCCUGUUCCUCGCACAUGUUGUUUAUGUUCCAAUUUUUCAUUUAAUACUUUUAACUGCGUCGCGAGAACCCAAAAUAAAUGCUUACAAGAUGAAGGUGAAGAUGAUUAGUCGCAAUCCGGACAAUUAUGUCCGGGAAACCAAAGAGCAACAGCACAAAAUGCCCCGAAACUACGAUCCCUCGCUGCAUCCCUUGGAGGGUCCCCGGGAGUAUGUGCGGGCUCUGAAUGCCACCAAGUUGGACCGAGUGUUUGCCAAGCCCUUUGUAGCCAACUUAAGUGGCCACCGCGAUGGUGUGGCUUGCUUUGGCAAGCAUCCAAAGCAACUCUCUAGCCUGGCCACCGGCGCUUACGAUGGCGAAGUGCGCAUCUGGGACCUGGCCAAUCGCACCAGCAUCCGCCACUUUGUGGCCCACGAUGGCUUUGUCCGGGGCAUUACCUACACCCGCAAUGGGGAACAGAUCUUCACUGUGGGCGAUGACAAGACCAUCAAGGUUUGGAAGGCUCAGGCACCAGAAAUUGGCGAUGAGGAGGAGCCGGUGAACACCAUACUCAGUAGAUACGGCCUUCACGGCAUCUCUCAUAAUAGAAAGGAAAAUAAGUUUGCUACCUGCGGCGAGGUAUGUGCCAUUUGGGAUGAGGAGCACAAUGAUCCUUUGAAGACCCUCAAAUGGGGCGUGGACACGCUGCAUACUAUCUCCUACAAUCCCGUGGAAACGGAUAUACUGGCCUGCUGUGCCAGCGAUCGAAGCAUUAUUCUGUACGACCAGCGUGAGGCCCAGCCCCUGCGCAAGGUGGUGCUGACCAUGAAGAGCAACAAGUUGGCCUGGAAUCCCAUGGAGGCAUUCAACUUUACAGUGGCUAAUGAGGAUUGCAACUUGUACACCUUUGACACCCGCAAACUCCAGACUCCUUUGAAGGUUCACUUUGAUCAUGUUUCCGCCGUCACCGAUGUGGACUACUCGCCCACGGGCAAGGAAUUCGUCUCUGCCAGCUAUGACAAGACUGUCCGCAUUUACAAUGCCCAUCACAGCCACUCUAGGGAUAUUUACCACACCAAACGCAUGCAGCAUGUGGUCUGUGUGGCAUGGUCCCUGGACAAUCGAUAUGUCUUCUCCGGCUCUGAUGAGAUGAACGUGCGCAUGUGGAAGGCAAAGGCCUCUGAAAAGCUGGGCGUGAUACGUCCACGUGAACGUGUCAAUUUCAAUUACCAGGAGGCUCUCAAGCACAAGUAUGCUGCACAUCCGCAGAUCAAGCGCAUUGCUAGGCAUCGGCAGGUGCCGCGACAUGUGCUCAAUGCCCAGAAGAAGAUGCGUACGGUCAAGGAGAAGGAGCAGGUCAAGGAGGCCAAUGUGCGCAAUCACUCCAAAAAGGGCAAGGUGCCGUAUGUCAGUGAAAAGAAGAAGCAUGUCCUCAAGGAAGAGGUCUAAAAAGGACAGGAGCACUGUAGUUUUUAUAAGUUUUGAAUAAUAAAAAUAUUGAUUUUUCUGCAAUUUCACCUAGACACAGUUUUAUUGCAUUUACCUAAAGGAAGAUAAUAAAUAAGUUAUCUUUAUUCAUAAUUUAUGGUAGGAUUAAAGUGAAUUAUUAAGUAUUAUAUUGCUAGAUUACAGUAAAUAUUAUUAUUAUUAAUAUUUAGGAA